This 455-nucleotide ribosomal RNA is filed under the name uncultured archaeon. RNAcentral describes it as "partial 16S ribosomal RNA". The record is from RNAcentral.
CCCCCGCCAAUUCCUUUAAGUUUCAGCCUUGCGGCCGUACUUCCCAGGUGGCUCGCUUCACGGCUUCCCUACGGCACCGACAACGGUCGCACCGUGGCCGACACCUAGCGAGUAUCGUUUACGGCUAGGACUACCCGGGUAUCUAAUCCGGUUCGUGCCCCUAGCUUUCGUCCCUUGCCGUCAGGUCCGUUCUGGUGAGACGCCUUCGCCACUGGUGGUCCUUCAAGGAUUACAAGAUUUCACCCCUACCCCUGAAGUACCUCUCACCUCUCCCGGCCUCGAGCCGAACAGUAUCUCCUGAAAGCCCAACAGUUGAGCUGCUGGAUUUCUCAAGAGACUUAUCCGGCCGGCUACAGACCCUUUAGACCCAAUAAUAACGGUUACCACUCGAGCCGCCGGUGUUACCGCGGCGGCUGGCACCGGUCUUGCCCGGCCCUUGCUAUGCAAUGCUUUUU